UACGUAGGGUGCGAGCGUUAAUCGGAAUUACUGGGCGUAAAGUGUGUGCAGGCGGCCGAGCAAGUCGAGUGUGAAAGCCCCGAGCUUAACUUGGGAACUGCGCUCGAAACUACUUGGCUAGAGUGUGGCAGAGGGAGGUGGAAUUCCACGUGUAGCGGUGAAAUGCGUAGAGAUGUGGAGGAACACCGAUGGCGAAGGCAGCCUCCUGGGCCAACACUGACGCUCAUGCACGAAAGCGUGGGGAGCAAACAGG
Molecule: ribosomal RNA, 253 nt
Filed under: uncultured bacterium
Lineage: Bacteria
Description: partial 16S ribosomal RNA
Rfam family: Bacterial small subunit ribosomal RNA
Source: RNAcentral